RNAcentral lists this ribosomal RNA (250 nucleotides) under uncultured prokaryote. RNAcentral's name for it is "partial 16S ribosomal RNA". It matches the Rfam family "Bacterial small subunit ribosomal RNA", at positions 524 to 773 of the family's 1533-position model. The record is from RNAcentral.
UACGUAGGUGGCAAGCGUUGUCCGGAUUUACUGGGUGUAAAGGGCGCGUAGGCGGGCUUUCAAGUCAGAUGUGAAAUACCGAGGCUUAACCUCGGGGCUGCAUUUGAAACUGUUAGUCUUGAGUAUCGGAGAGGAAAGCGGAAUUCCUAGUGUAGCGGUGAAAUGCGUAGAUAUUAGGAGGAACACCAGUGGCGAAGGCGGCUUUCUGGACGACAACUGACGCUGAGGCGCGAAAGUGUGGGGAGCAAAC